Molecule: non-coding RNA, 111 nt
Organism: Acanthosepion pharaonis
Lineage: Eukaryota; Metazoa; Mollusca; Cephalopoda; Sepiida; Sepiidae
Source: the annotation of a GenBank genome assembly
CAGCCACAUCACAUGGAAAGACCAGUUCCUGUACUAUCACCGAACUUAAGCAAUAUUGAGCCUGCUCAGUACCUAGGUGGGUGACCGUUUGGGAAUACCAAGUGCUGUAAU